UACGUAGGGUGCAAGCGUUGUCCGGAAUUAUUGGGCGUAAAGAGCUCGUAGGCGGUUUGUCACGUCUGCUGUGAAAACGCGGGGCUCAACCCCCAGCCUGCAGUGGGUACGGGCAGACUAGAGUGCGGUAGGGGAGAUUGGAAUUCCUGGUGUAGCGGUGGAAUGCGCAGAUAUCAGGAGGAACACCGAUGGCGAAGGCAGAUCUCUGGGCCGUAACUGACGCUGAGGAGCGAAAGCGUGGGGAGCGAACAGG
This 253-nucleotide ribosomal RNA is filed under the name uncultured bacterium. RNAcentral describes it as "partial 16S ribosomal RNA". It matches the Rfam family "Bacterial small subunit ribosomal RNA", at positions 524 to 776 of the family's 1533-position model. The record is from RNAcentral.